GACGAACGCUGGCGGCGUGCUUAACACAUGCCAGUCGAACGGAAAGGCCCUGCUUUUGUGGGGUGCUCGAGUGGCGAACGGGUGAGUAACACGUGAGUAACCUGCCUUGACUUUGGGAUAACUUCAGGAAACUGGGGCUAAUACCGGAUAGGAGCUCCUGCUGCAUGGUGGGGGUUGGAAAGUUUCGGCGGUUGGGGAUGGACUCGCGGCUUAUCAGCUUGUUGGUGGGGUAGUGGCUUACCAAGGCUUUGACGGGUAGCCGGCCUGAGAGGGUGACCGGCCACAUUGGGACUGAGAUACGGCCCAGACUCCUACGGGAGGCAGCAGUGGGGAAUAUUGCACAAUGGGCGGAAGCCUGAUGCAGCAACGCCGCGUGCGGGAUGACGGCCUUCGGGUUGUAAACCGCUUUCGCCUGUGACGAAGCGUGAGUGACGGUAAUGGGUAAAGAAGCACCGGCUAACUACGUG
RNAcentral lists this ribosomal RNA (467 nucleotides) under uncultured bacterium. RNAcentral's name for it is "partial 16S ribosomal RNA". It matches the Rfam family "Bacterial small subunit ribosomal RNA", at positions 28 to 507 of the family's 1533-position model. The record is from RNAcentral.